UGCCCUAGUAACGGCGAGUGAAGCGGCAACAGCUCAAAUUUGAAAUCUGGCGUCUUUGGCGUCCGAGUUGUAAUUUGCAGAGGGCGCUUUGGCAUUGGCAGCGGUCCAAGUUCCUUGGAACAGGACGUCACAGAGGGUGAGAAUCCCGUACGUGGUCGCUAGCCUUUACCGUGUAAAGCCCCUUCGACGAGUCGAGUUGUUUGGGAAUGCAGCUCUAAAUGGGAGGUAAAUUUCUUCUAAAGCUAAAUACUGGCCAGAGACCGAUAGCGCACAAGUAGAGUGAUCGAAAGAUGAAAAGCACUUUGGAAAGAGAGUUAAAAAGCACGUGAAAUUGUUGAAAGGGAAGCGCUUGCAGCCAGACUUGCCUGUAGUUGCUCAUCCGGGUUUCUACCCGGUGCACUCUUCUAUAGGCAGGCCAGCAUCAGUUUGGGCGGUUGGAUAAAGGUCUCUGUCAUGUAACUCUCUUCGGGGAGAACUUAUAGGGGAGACGACAUGCAACCAGCCUGGACUGAGGUCCGCGCAUCUGCUAGGAUGCUGGCGUAAUGGCUGUAAGCGGCCCGUCUUGAAACACGGACCAAGGAGUCUAACAUCUAUGCGAGUGUUUGGGUGUCAAGCCCGAGCGCGUAAUGAAAGUGAACGGAGGUGGGAACCUUUCGGGGUGCACCAUCGACCGAUCCUGAUGUCUUCGGAUGGAUUUGAGUAAGAGCAUAGCUGUUGGGACCCGAAAGAUGGUGAACUAUGCUUGAAUAGGGUGAAGCCAGAGGAAACUCUGGUGGAGGCUCGCAGCGGUUCUGACGUGCAAAUCGAUCGUCAAAUUUGGGCAUAGGGGCGAAAGACUAAUCGAACUAUCUAGUAGCUGGUUCCUGCCGAAGUUUCCCUCAAGGAAAAAAAACC
RNAcentral lists this ribosomal RNA (894 nucleotides) under Neomicrosphaeropsis rossica. RNAcentral describes it as "eukaryotic LSU rRNA". It matches the Rfam family "Eukaryotic large subunit ribosomal RNA", at positions 76 to 987 of the family's 3401-position model. Lineage: Eukaryota; Fungi; Ascomycota; Dothideomycetes; Pleosporales; Didymellaceae. The record is from RNAcentral.